CUACGGGUUGCACCAGUGAGGAAUAUUGCACAAUGGGGGGAACCCUGAUGCAGCAACGCCGCGUGGAGGAUGACGCAUUUCGGUGCGUAAACUCCUUUUAUAUGUCAAGAAAAUGACGGUAGCAUAUGAAUAAGCACCGGCUAACUCCGUGCCAGCAGCCGCGGUAAUACGGAGGGUGCAAGCGUUACUCGGAAUCACUGGGCGUAAAGGACGCGUAGGCGGGUUGGAAAGUCAGGUGUGAAAUCCUACAGCUUAACUGUAGAACUGCACUUGAAACUUCUAAUCUAGAGUAUGGGAGGGGAGAUGGAAUUAGUGGUGUAGGGGUAAAAUCCGUAGAUAUCACUAGGAAUACCUAAAGCGAAGGCGAUCUCCUGGAACAUUACUGACGCUAAGGCGUGAAAGCGUGGGGAGCAAACAGGAUUAGAUACCCCGGUAGUC
This 438-nucleotide ribosomal RNA is filed under the name uncultured bacterium. Its description in RNAcentral is "partial 16S ribosomal RNA". It matches the Rfam family "Bacterial small subunit ribosomal RNA", at positions 339 to 795 of the family's 1533-position model. The record is from RNAcentral.